GUAGGAGGACUGGGCCCUGCAGAGCUAUUGGGAGACCCUGCUCGUGCCCAUGGCGCUAAACACAAAGAACGCCCUGGCGUGAAAGUCACAGGCUGCUCGGAAAUGUUUGAACACCCUGAACCUGCACUCAGGCAAUCAAAGCUCUGCCACAUCCUCAGAAGGAGCCCAGGUCAGGUCCGGCUGCCGUCACGCAUCAUGAGGACAUGUGGAGCCAGACAGGUACCAGGAGGAAAUGUGGGUGAGUGCUGCCCUGCCCCAUCCUCUCUGUUUCCCUCCCACUUGUUUGCAGAGGUGACCUCAGCAUAGAACCAGGACCCCUUGACAGAAACAUUGCCAUUCUGGGCACUCCACACCCAAGCCAGUUCAUCCAAAUCACCCAUUAAAACUGUGCUCUGAAGAAACUACCUGUUGCACCAAACUCCUUGUCUUACCGGACACACAUCGAUGGCCAGCGCAGAAUGAGGCUGGGGGAGGAUCUUAAUGACACAGUCCACUCUGCAAACCAGGGUCAACAAAGCUGCAGGUAUGGCCACGGCCUCUCACCGUGGACUCUGUAUGGGCCAAUACACAAUGUGCUAUUCCCCGGUUAUUUCUGAAUACAGCCACAGGGAGAUGUGGCCCAGCCCCACUUCCCCAGGGCACACAGUGAGAGGCUAGACAGGAGCCACAGGACCUCUUCAAUCUGCCAGUGAUCCCAAACUCUGGACCCAGGCAGAUCAGUAAGGGAGAGAGAAAAAUAUUCCCCCCCCUUUUUUUUUUGAGACGGAGUUUUGCUCUUGUUACCCAGGCUGGAGUGCAAUGGCGCGAUCUCGGCUCACCGCAGCCUCCGCCUCCUGGGUUCAGGCAAUUCUCCUGCCUCAGCCUCCUGAGUAGCUGGGAUUACAGGCACGUACCACCAUGCCCAGCUAAUUUUUUGUAUUUUUAGUAGAGACGGGGUUUCACCAUGUUGACCAGGAUGGUCUCGAUCUCUUGACCUCGUGAUCCACCCGCCUGGGCCUCCCAAAGUGCUGGGAUUACAGGCUUGAGCCACCGCGCCCGGCCAGAAUAUUCCCUUUUCUAGGAAAGUCCUCUGGCCUCACCCAGCUUGAUGAUGUGUCUGCUAGCCCAACACCCCAGUCAGUGAGGGUAUCUUUUCCAGUGGUGGGGAGCACUGUGGUGGGAGCAGCUGCAGAGGAUGGCGGAGUCUUUCCUGCAGGAUUCUGGAAUAUUGUGUCCUCUCUGGAAGAGAGACAAGGAGUGAGGGUGAGACUGGGAAGGGCAUGGGAGGGAAAACCUUCCUUACUGCCUAAGGAAUGGGGUGCAUCCCUCAGGGGCCAGUGACCAACCUUAUUAGCCACCUCUGUGCAUUCAACGGCUUCCUCUCUCCUGAGGCAGCCAGAGCCUGAAUAUCUCAGCAAAGCAUCAAGAAAGGCUUUAAUAAUCGAUUUAAUUAAAGUCUAAAAAUCAUAGACCCAGCUCCUAUGCGUCGAGUGAUUUCAGAGCUCUUUCUCUUUGCUGUCUUCGAAGGGUAAUCUGGAUGCUGGAGGGUCGCUCUCUGGCUUGACAAACUCAGUUUGUUUCCAUAGUUACAAAACACUUGUGUUCUCCCGGACCCACAAUCCAUCAGGAGGGGUACGCUGGCUGCCUGGUAACCAUGCCACCAUUUCCUGAAUUCGCAGGAAAUUCAAACAUUAGAAAGGUGGGUGGCCAUGCCUGUUUUGUGCACGCCCUGAUAAUCUCAUGUUGAUUUAAGUAUUUUGUAGGAAGCAAAGUAAAAGACCAUUUGCACUAUAACUUGCAGAUAUUCAUGUGUAAUCCCCAAUAAAUGGGAAUUUCAUGGGAAAAGGUGGAAACUCGAAAGGGCUUGAGCAGUUGCUGCAGUGCCCAGAGGAGUGUGCUCUCGCCCCGGCUGACUCUGAGUCCAGCUCUCUCCUUGGAGAAAGGGAGCUACUGGGGGACCCGGGUGCCAUGUAGCCAAGGGCCGGGCAGCAGAUCUGAGAGAUGUUCAUGUAAAUCUUGUUCUUACUAGACAUGGAUAGUUUAUUCUCCCUUAACUGUAUUAAUAGUUCCCUUAUCUGUGAAAGAAGUAACUCAUGGCUUUGUUGGGAGGAUUAAAUGAGAUUAGCGAAGGGUUUAGUACAGUAUAUAUCUUGCACUCAGUAAGUAAUGGUUGCUAUUUUGCCCUCUUGUUUCAAAACACCAUCCAUUCCCAUGAUACAAAAUAGUGCAAAGCGUAGGAUGUGUUUGAUGGAGACAAAGAACCCUUGAAUGAAUUUAGAUGGUGGUGAUGCUGAUACUGAUGACGGAUGGAUGAAGAAGUCUAGCCAGGCGCCGUGGCUCAUGCCUGUAAUCCCGACACUUUGGGAGGCAGAGGUGGGCAGAUCACCUGAGGU
RNAcentral lists this long non-coding RNA (2372 nucleotides) under Callithrix jacchus (white-tufted-ear marmoset). RNAcentral's name for it is "lncRNA (ENSCJAG00000077683.1)". Lineage: Eukaryota; Metazoa; Chordata; Mammalia; Primates; Cebidae. The record is from RNAcentral.